CAAGCCAGGUUUCUCCCCCCUCACUUUCUGCAGCCUUGUCUGGCCUGGCUGGGGGGAGGAGGAGACCUAGACAGAGCCAGUUACCUCAUCAGAAGCUGGAAACCAAAGAGAACAAGAAAUUCCUGGACUUACAUCUUAAAUCACAAGCUGGAUUCAAUUGGUGUACACACUCUGGUCUUCAUCCCACAUAGUCUUAAAUCCACCAGUGUGUCUUCAGGCAGAGAAUGGUGGGUGCCUGCAUGAGAAGCUGCUUUCCCUCAAGGGUCUGUACUGAGGUGAACUGGAAAUUUUGCCUGAAUAUUCAUAACUGUGGCAUAUUGGAAAAAAUAAUUCAAUAGCCUUCAGAAAGUUUCAACCACUCAAGGUAUUAAAUGUCCAGAGAGUGAACUAGAACAGAACAUGAAGGUUAAAAGAAACAAUGAAAUAAAUUACCAACAAUGGCUUUUGGGAUUCAGUUCUACUUGUGAGAUAGGAUGGUGGUUUACAACCAGCUGAACAGGUCAGCUCAGGUUUCUUCUCUUGUGUGGACACAGAAAGAAGUCAAGUUUAUGGAUUAGGAUUUCCUGGUGGAUAAACAGAACAAAAGCACACUUUGGCCCUCAGAAGGCUACAGCUUUAAAUCUACAUGCAUGACCUGCUGUGAAUCUUUUCGAUAGAAAACUUUCCAUGGCUGUGGUGUCAUCCAGUAAAAAUGUGUUUCUGUAUGCAUCUCCUUUUUUUAUUAAACCAAAUCAGGAGUUUUGAAUUUGUUUUGUGAUGUCAGGUGUACUUCUGGGUUUGUGAAUGUCUGCACAUGAAUGCAUUUCUUUGUGUACCUGUAUCCAUGAGCUCUUCCAGGUUUGCACAUGAACAGAUCUAUGAUUAAAAUCUUUUUUCUCAC
This is a long non-coding RNA of Cyanistes caeruleus (blue tit), 880 nucleotides long. RefSeq lists it as uncharacterized. NCBI's taxonomy places the organism in Eukaryota, Metazoa, Chordata, Aves, Passeriformes, Paridae. The record is from RefSeq and is a predicted model, not a curated record.